CUCUGUGCGACCCGGAGGCACUGAGCCUCCUUUUCUUCUCCUUAUCUGCAUCUGUCCACACCCAGGAAUGGGAAGGGUCCUCCCAGGAAUGGGAAGGGUCCCCGCAGCAAGACUGCCUGGUUGAAAGAACACAGAAUAUGUGGUCAAGCUUUCAGGACCUUCAUAGGCACUGGGAGACUCCUCUUCUAGCCUGGCUCAUGAGUAUUUGAUGGACUAAAUGACACUCCACAGGAGAAGGGAGGGCAAUUGGAUGCCUUUUUCUAUUCUGAUAGGCCUAAGAGGAAGGGAUUAAGGAUCCUCUGACCAAAAUAUCAUGUAUGUCAAAACGUCAUCAUAGGCUCUGCUUCCACUGGGACCCAUGUAAUGAAAUGAAAUUCUCCACCUGACCCUUUUGACUGCAGACUUGUAAGAUGAGAAGCUACUAAGGUUUUCUCUCCUAGGACAGAAGAUUGACAGUACAGGUUGCUCUAUUGUAUUAUGACUCUCUUGAUCUAGACACAUAGUGUUUCGAGUGUGUGUAUUAAGGCUUUUGAGACUAAGUGCUAUGCCUUGAUAAGAACCCAUGCAAAUAUGAGUGUUGGAAACUCCUUGAAGUUCUUUAUUGGAAACUCUUCUCAGUUACCUGUAAGGAAAGGAACUGACUCAGUGUGAAAGCCACCAACCUUUCAUCAGCCUUUCUCUGGAUGCUUCAUCUUCUGUAGCUUGGUGCUGGGAGCUACAGCCCUACAGGCAUCUCACUGCCUGAUGCUCAGUGAGGGAGGAGAAGGUGCAUAUACAAAGAAGGCACACAGUGAGAGAGAGAGAGAAAGAGAGAGAGAGAGGCAGAGCACAGGCAGUGGGAGA
Molecule: long non-coding RNA, 843 nt
Organism: Canis lupus familiaris (dog)
Lineage: Eukaryota; Metazoa; Chordata; Mammalia; Carnivora; Canidae
Exons: 7
Source: RefSeq, a predicted model, not a curated record